ACAUGCAAGUCGAACGGUGAAGCCAAGCUUGCUUGGUGGAUCAGUGGCGAACGGGUGAGUAACACGUGAGCAACCUGCCCUGGACUCUGGGAUAAGCGCUGGAAACGGUGUCUAAUACUGGAUAUGAGCUCUCAUCGCAUGGUGGGGGUUGGAAAGAUUUUUCGGUCUGGGAUGGGCUCGCGGCCUAUCAGCUUGUUGGUGAGGUAAUGGCUCACCAAGGCGUCGACGGGUAGCCGGCCUGAGAGGGUGACCGGCCACACUGGGACUGAGACACGGCCCAGACUCCUACGGGAGGCAGCAGUGGGGAAUAUUGCACAAUGGGCGGAAGCCUGAUGCAGCAACGCCGCGUGAGGGAUGACGGCCUUCGGGUUGUAAACCUCUUUUAGCAGGGAAGAAGCGAGAGUGACGGUACCUGCAGAAAAAGCGCCGGCUAACUACGUGCCAGCAGCCGCGGUAAUACGUAGGGCGCAAGCGUUAUCCGGAAUUAUUGGGCGUAAAGAGCUCGUAGGCGGUUUGUCGCGUCUGCUGUGAAAUCCCGAGGCUCAACCUCGGGCCUGCAGUGGGUACGGGCAGACUAGAGUGCGGUAGGGGAGAUUGGAAUUCCUGGUGUAGCGGUGGAAUGCGCAGAUAUCAGGAGGAACACCGAUGGCGAAGGCAGAUCUCUGGGCCGUAACUGACGCUGAGGAGCGAAAGGGUGGGGAGCAAACAGGCUUAGAUACCCUGGUAGUCCACCCCGUAAACGUUGGGAACUAGUUG
Molecule: ribosomal RNA, 756 nt
Filed under: Microbacterium aurantiacum
Lineage: Bacteria; Bacillati; Actinomycetota; Actinomycetes; Micrococcales; Microbacteriaceae
Description: partial 16S ribosomal RNA
Rfam family: Bacterial small subunit ribosomal RNA
Source: RNAcentral